RNAcentral lists this ribosomal RNA (585 nucleotides) under uncultured bacterium. Its description in RNAcentral is "bacterial SSU rRNA". It matches the Rfam family "Bacterial small subunit ribosomal RNA", at positions 48 to 656 of the family's 1533-position model. The record is from RNAcentral.
CUUACACAUGCAAGNNNNACGAUGAAGCCUGGCUUGCCAGGUGGAUUAGUGGCGCACGGGUGAGUAAUGUAUAGCUAACCUGCCCUUCAGUGGGGGACAACAGUUGGAAACGACUGCUAAUACCCCAUACUCCUUUUAGACACAAGUUUAAUCGGGAAAGUUUUUUCGCUGAAGGAUGGGGCUAUAUGAUAUCAGUUAGUUGGUGGGGUAAUGGCCUGCCAAGACUAUGACAUCUAACUGGUCUGAGAGGAUGAUCAGCCACACUGGAACUGAGACACGGUCCAGACUCCUACGGGAGGCAGCAGUGGGGAAUAUUGCACAAUGGAGGAAACUCUGAUGCAGCAACGCCGCGUGGAGGAUGACACAUUUCGGUGCGUAAACUCCUUUUAUAUGGGAAGAUAAUGACGGUACCAUAUGAAUAAGCACCGGCUAACUCCGUGCCAGCAGCCGCGGUAAUACGGANGGUGCAAGCGUUACUCGGAAUCACUGGGCGUAAAGCGCGCGCAGGCGGCCUGAUAGUUGGAAGUGAAAUCCUAUGGCUUACCAUAAACUGCUCCCAAACUGUCAGGCUAAAAUCUGGGAGGG